CUCGAUGUUGGCGAUACACUGUCAGCGUCUAAGCGAAAGCAUUAAGUGAUCCACCUGGGGAGUACGGCCGCAAGGUUGAACUCAAAGGAAUUGACGGGGGCCCGCACAAGCGGAGGAGCAUGUGGUUUAAUUCGAUGAUACGCGAGGAACCUUACCUGGGCUAGAACGCAAGACGAUUUCCCGUGAAAGCGGGAUUCCCUUCGGGGCGGCUUGCGAGGUGCUGCAUGGUUGUCGUCAGCUCGUGCCGUGAGGUGUCGGGUUAAGUCCCAUAACGAGCGCAACCCCUAUCAUUAGUUGCCAUCAGGUCAUGCUGGGGACUCUAGUGAAACUGCCUACGCAAGUAGAGAGGAAGGUGGGGAUGACGUCAAAUCAGCACGGCCCUUACGUCCAGGGCUACACACGUGCUACAAUGGUCGGUACAAUGGGUCGCUACCUGGUGACAGGAUGCCAAUCUCAAAAACCGAUCUCAGUUCGGAUCGAAGUCUGCAACUCGACUUCGUGAAGUUGGAUUCGCUAGUAAUCGUACAUCAGCAAUGGUACGGUGAAUACGUUCCCGGGCCUUGUACACACCGCCCGUCAAGCCAUGGAAGCUGGGGGUACCUGAAGUCCGUGACCGCAAGGAGCGGCCUANGGGUAAAACUAGUGACUGGGGCUAAGUCGUAANCAAGUAACC
RNAcentral lists this ribosomal RNA (673 nucleotides) under uncultured Bacteroidota bacterium. RNAcentral's name for it is "bacterial SSU rRNA". It matches the Rfam family "Bacterial small subunit ribosomal RNA", at positions 816 to 1501 of the family's 1533-position model. Lineage: Bacteria; Pseudomonadati; Bacteroidota. The record is from RNAcentral.